GACGAACGCUGGCGGCGUGCUUAACACAUGCAAGUCGAACGGUAAGGCCCUUCGGGGUACACGAGUGGCGAACGGGGGAGUAACACGUGGGUGAUCUGCCCUGCACUUCGGGAUAAGCCUGGGAAACUGGGUCUAAUACCGGAUAGGACCACUGCCUGCAUGGGUGGUGGGGGAAAGGUUUUGCGGUGUGGGAUGGGCCCGCGGCCUAUCAGAUUGUUGGUGGGGUGAUGGCCUACCAAGGCGACGACGGGUAGCCGGCCUGAGAGGGUGACCGGCCACACUGGGACUGAGAUACGGCCCAGACUCCUACGGGAGGCAGCAGUGGGGAAUAUUGCACAAUGGGCGCAAGCCUGAUGCAGCGACGCCGCGUGAGGGAUGACGGCCUUCGGGUUGUAAACCUCUUUCAGCACCGACGAAGCGCAAGUGACGGUAGGUGCAGAAGAAGGACCGGCCAACUACGUGCCAGCAGCCGCAGUAA
This 478-nucleotide ribosomal RNA is filed under the name uncultured bacterium. Its description in RNAcentral is "partial 16S ribosomal RNA". It matches the Rfam family "Bacterial small subunit ribosomal RNA", at positions 28 to 523 of the family's 1533-position model. The record is from RNAcentral.